AACGAACGCUGGCGGCAUGCCUAACACAUGCAAGUCGAACGAGACCUUCGGGUCUAGUGGCGCACGGGUGCGUAACGCAUGGGAACCUGCCCUUAGGUUCGGAAUAACUCCCCGAAAGGGGUGCUAAUACCGGAUAAUGUCUUCGGACCAAAGAUUUAUCGCCUUUGGAUGGGCCCGCGUUGGAUUAGCUAGUUGGUAGGGUAAAAGCCUACCAAGGCGACGAUCCAUAGCUGGUCUGAGAGGAUGAUCAGCCACACUGGGACUGAGACACGUCCCAAAUACUGAGGGAAGGCAGCAGGGGGGAUAAUGGGACAAGGGGCGAAAGCAGAAGCCAGCAAGGCCGCGUAGGUGAUGAGGGCCUAAGGGUGGUAAAGCUCUUUUACCCGGGAUGUUAAGAACGUACCCGGAGGAUAAGGCCCGGCUUAAUUCGGG
RNAcentral lists this ribosomal RNA (432 nucleotides) under uncultured bacterium. RNAcentral describes it as "partial 16S ribosomal RNA". It matches the Rfam family "Bacterial small subunit ribosomal RNA", at positions 29 to 507 of the family's 1533-position model. The record is from RNAcentral.